Molecule: ribosomal RNA, 483 nt
Filed under: uncultured bacterium
Lineage: Bacteria
Description: partial 16S ribosomal RNA
Rfam family: Bacterial small subunit ribosomal RNA
Source: RNAcentral
GACGAACGCUGGCGGCGUGCUUAACACAUGCAAGUCGAACGGUAAGGUCCCUUCGGGGGUACACGAGUGGCGAACGGGUGAGUAACACGUGAGCAACCUGCCCUUGACUCUGGGAUAACAGUUGGAAACAGCUGCUAAUACCGGAUACGACCUUCGAUGACAACAUCUGGAGGUGGAAAGCGCUUUAGCGGUCAAGGAUGGGCUCGCGGCCUAUCAGCUUGUUGGUGAGGUAACGGCUCACCAAGGCUUCGACGGGUAGCCGGCCUGAGAGGGCGACCGGCCACACUGGGACUGAGAUACGGCCCAGACUCCUACGGGAGGCAGCAGUGGGGAAUAUUGCACAAUGGGCGCAAGCCUGAUGCAGCAACGCCGCGUGCGGGAUGACGGCCUUCGGGUUGUAAACCGCUUUCAGUUUCGACGAAGCGCAAGUGACGGUAGGAACAGAAGAAGGACCGGCCAACUACGUGCCAGCCGCCGCAGUAA